This 322-nucleotide ribosomal RNA is filed under the name uncultured eukaryote. RNAcentral describes it as "partial 18S ribosomal RNA". It matches the Rfam family "Eukaryotic small subunit ribosomal RNA", at positions 1470 to 1796 of the family's 1831-position model. The record is from RNAcentral.
CCCUUAGAUGUCCUGGGCCGCACGCGCGUUACACUGAUGCAUUCAACGAGCUUAUAACCUUGGCCGAGAGGCCUGGGCAAUCUUGUUGACGUGCAUCGUGAUAGGGAUAGAUUAUUGAAAUUAUUAAUCUUGAACGAGGAAUUCCUAGUAAACGCAGAUCAUCAAUCUGCAUUGAUUACGUCCCUGCCCUUUGUACACACCGCCCGUCGCACCUACCGAUUGAAUGGUCCGGUGAAAUCUCGGGACGGCGGCUUGGUCGCUUGCGUCCGACUGCUGAAACUUGAUUAAACCAUAUCAUUUAGAGGAAGGUGAANUCGUAACA